GACCUCGCCCCUACAGGGGUAUAACCGUAGAAAUGCGACUAAUCCCCAUAGUCCCGCGGGCUGCAUGGCCUGCGGGGGAAAGGCCAGCCGGUAGGGGAUGGGCAUGCGGCGCAUUAGCUAGUUGGCGGGGCAACGGCCCACCAAGGCGACGAUGCGUAGGGUUCUGAGAGGAAGGUCCCCCACACUGGUACUGAGACACGGACCAGACUCCUACGGGAGGCAGCAGUGAGGAAUAUUGGUCAAUGGGCGCAGGCCUGAACCAGCCAAGUCGCGUGAGGGAAGACGGUCCUACGGAUUGUAAACCUCUUUUGUCGGGGAGUAACGUGCGGGACGCGUCCCGUAUUGAGAGUACCCGAAGAAAAAGCAUCGGCUAACUCCGUG
RNAcentral lists this ribosomal RNA (381 nucleotides) under uncultured bacterium. RNAcentral describes it as "bacterial SSU rRNA". It matches the Rfam family "Bacterial small subunit ribosomal RNA", at positions 123 to 507 of the family's 1533-position model. The record is from RNAcentral.